Long non-coding RNA from Chlorocebus sabaeus (green monkey), 1765 nucleotides. RefSeq lists it as uncharacterized. Lineage: Eukaryota; Metazoa; Chordata; Mammalia; Primates; Cercopithecidae. The record is from RefSeq and is a predicted model, not a curated record.
AGGCCGGGGCCGGGGCGGGGGCGCGCGGGGGCCGGGGUGGGGGUGUCUCGCCGCGCGCGCGCCCUCCUUCCGCUCCUCCGGGUCCUUGGUCCCCAGCCUGUAGGGGGCUUGGGCUGUAGCGCUGGGGCGGGGGCUUUAGAUCCCCCCAAAAACAGGACCUCUGGCGACCUUCUCGUUUUCCACCGGGAGCGGAGACAGCCGAUCUCCUUUUCCUGCUAGCCCCGUAGGACAGUCUCCGGAGCAGCUCAUAGGAAUAUGACGAACGUUUACUCAGGGCUGGUUACUAUGUACACUGCGCCCCGCGCGCGGCUGGUUUACCUCGGUUCACCUCCCGGCAACCGGCGGCCCGGAUAUUAUCAGAUGCGGGGGACUGGGCGGCGCCUCAUUGCCCGAGGAGAGGCGGCCUCAAGUACCUGAGCUGGAGCUAGCACCAGGCUUCCUUUUCCCCAUGAGAUGGCAGAAUGGCUGCUUACAACUUCAAAUCACACCCUUUCCAGCAGAAACGGAGUUUCUUUUCCCUGAUGCUGUCAACAAAAGUCCCAGGACUACAUCUCAUUGGUCGAACUUGUGUUACCCGUGCAUCACUAAACCACUCUCCUGAGAAGAAGCAUGGAACAUUCUGACAGCUCCUCUCAAAUCGCAUGGGCUGAGAUUUGGGGAGAGCUGGCUUCCUGUGCUAGGUCAUUUCUGUUGGCCCUUCCAGAUCUACUCUCCACCCUUUUCCUUCCUGAUUUGAGCCUCAAGAGGCCAACCUGCAUGGACUGCUUCCACAGGUCCCUUGUCCUCUGACUUACAGUUGAAUUCACCAAAUAGAAGACAUUGGAAAUGAGACCCAAGGGUUGGAGGAGGAGGAACGUAAGGGUUUUAUUCCUCUGGCCCCUGCCCUUCUGGGUUGCUGCAGGUUGGCUACAUGCAUUUAUUGAAGCUUCUGUCAACUGGCCUUCUUCACACAGGUACUCUCUCCUAGUUCUAGUAAAUUCUCCUUUCUCCACCUCCAGAAUUAUCCACCCUGGAGGUGAUAAUGGCUCCCCUCUGUUGCUUGCCACAGUGUAUCACACCAUCAGACCUGCUUUUUCCCUCAACCCUGCCCGCACAUCUGUAUGGAACCUUUACUAAACCCUCUUUAGAUUAAUCAUCUGCUGGGAUGCUGAUGGUUACAUUCACCAAAGGAGAUUCAAGUUUCUAUUACCAAAAGAAAGGGGAAUGAAUCAAGGGCAGGCAACAGCACUACGGUAGUGAUACUGGUUUGGAAGAAGUAUCACCACAAGUGCAGACCAGAGAUGACUGUGGCUCGGACAGGGUCAUGAUGGGGGAAGCAAUGAGAAAUGGUAGGAUUCUGGCUAUAUCUCAGAGGAAGUGUUAACACAGUUUACUGAGGAAUUGUAUGUAAAUUAUGAGUGGUAGAGAGGAGCUGAGGAUGGAAACAGUUGGAAAACAUGCAUCUGGAGCCUAGGAGUGAGCUCAAUGAGUAGUGAUUGGGACGGAGGCGCGGUAGUUAGUUGAAACCACGGGCUCAGAUGAAAUCACCCCAGGAGCGCAUGUAGAAUAGAACACAGAAAAGGCAAAGGGCAGAAUCUAGAAGAACAAACACCAGCCUUUCCAUGGUGAACAGAGGAAGAGUUGCCAUCUUGUAUCUAUCAUCUAGAUCGUGAGCAACUCGAUAACCUGAGAACAAGAACAGAAUCUUCCACAUCCUUCCUCUUUACUAUCAUGUCUAGCGAGGUGAUGACCACAUGGUGGGUAAUAAAUGCUUGUUAUGAAUGAA